UAGUUCAUCUUCCAGAAUCUUUGAUCCAGGAGGUCCUCUCGACUGCGAGUCUUGAGGGUCUUCGGGUGGAACGGAGGUAGGGACUCUCCGGGGGUGGAAUCAUGAUCGGAUGGUGGGCUCUUCGCCUUCUGCUUCUCCUUUCCAGGGAAGACGGGGCGACUUGCCCAAGUGGCCCGCUCGAUCGCUGGAUUCUGGAACUC
RNAcentral lists this long non-coding RNA (200 nucleotides) under Elaeis guineensis (African oil palm). Its description in RNAcentral is "long non-coding RNA (EGUI_LNC080857)". The record is from RNAcentral. Lineage: Eukaryota; Viridiplantae; Streptophyta; Magnoliopsida; Arecales; Arecaceae.